RNAcentral lists this ribosomal RNA (231 nucleotides) under uncultured Rhodobacterales bacterium. RNAcentral's name for it is "partial 16S ribosomal RNA". It matches the Rfam family "Bacterial small subunit ribosomal RNA", at positions 401 to 650 of the family's 1533-position model. The record is from RNAcentral. Lineage: Bacteria; Pseudomonadati; Pseudomonadota; Alphaproteobacteria; Rhodobacterales.
GUGAGUGAUGAAGGCCCUAGGGUUGUAGCUCUUUCGCCAGGGAAGAUAAUGACGGUAUUUGGUAAGUAAGCCCGGGCUAACUCCUUGCCAGGCAGCGCGGUAAUACGGAGGGGGUUAGCGUUGUUCGGAAUUACUGGGCGUAAAGCGCACUGAGGCGGAUUUAUAAGUCAGGGGUGCCACUCCCUAGGCUCAACCUGGGAACUGCCUUUGAUACUGUUAAUCUUGAGUUCG